UAAAGCCCUUUCAGUGGGAAGAUAGUGACGGUACCCACAGAAGAAGCUCCGGCUAACUCCGUGCCAGCAGCCGCGGUAAUACGGAGGGGGCGAGCGUUGUUCGGAAUUAUUGGGCGUAAAGGGCGCGUAGGCGGUUAAUCAAAGUCAGGAGUGAAAGCCCCAGGCUCAACCUGGGAAUGGCUUUUGAAACUGAACUAACUGGAGUCCGGCAGAGGGUGGUGGAAUUCCCCGUGUAGAGGUUAAAUUCGUAGAUAUGGGGAGGAAGACC
RNAcentral lists this ribosomal RNA (268 nucleotides) under magnetic coccus MP17. Its description in RNAcentral is "partial 16S rRNA". It matches the Rfam family "Bacterial small subunit ribosomal RNA", at positions 426 to 710 of the family's 1533-position model. The record is from RNAcentral. Lineage: Bacteria; Pseudomonadati; Pseudomonadota; Alphaproteobacteria.